GGAGUGGUAGUUCAGUUGGUUAGAAUACCGGCCUGUCACGCCGGGGGUCGCGGGU
Molecule: transfer RNA, 55 nt
Organism: Dechloromonas denitrificans
Lineage: Bacteria; Pseudomonadati; Pseudomonadota; Betaproteobacteria; Rhodocyclales; Azonexaceae
Rfam family: tRNA
About the family: Transfer RNA (tRNA) molecules are approximately 80 nucleotides in length. Their secondary structure includes four short double-helical elements and three loops (D, anti-codon, and T loops).
Source: Rfam